Molecule: ribosomal RNA, 1307 nt
Filed under: metagenome
Description: SSU rRNA
Rfam family: Eukaryotic small subunit ribosomal RNA
Source: RNAcentral
UCUGGUUGAUCCUGCCAGUAGUCAUAUGCUGUCUCAAAGAUUAAGCCAUGCAUGUCUAAGUAUAAAUAGUAUACAGUGAAACUGCGAAUGGCUCAUUAAAACAGUUAUAGUUUAUUUGAUAAUUGACAAUUACAUGGAUAACCGUGGUAAUUCUAGAGCUAAUACAUGCUUAAACGCCCGACUUUAUGGAAGGGUGGUAUUUAUUAGACUGAAGCCAAUAUUCCUUGUGUCUAUUGCGGUGAUUCAUAAUAACUGAUCGAAUCUCUUUUUGAGAUAAAUCAUUCAAGUUUCUGCCCUAUCAGCUUUCGAUGGUAGCGUAUUGGACUACCAUGGCGGUAACGGGUAACGAAGAAUUAGGGUUCGAUUUCGGAGAGGGAGCAUGAGAAACGGCUACCACAUCUAAGGGAGGCAGCAGGCGCGUAAAUUACCCAAUCCUGACUCAGGGAGGUAGUGACAAGAAAUAGCAAACCGGGAACCUCAUGGUUUCACGGUAUUGCAAUGAGAACAAUUUAAAGCCCUUAGCGAGAAUCAAGUGAAGGACAAGUCUGGUGCCAGCACCCGCGGUAAUUCCAGCUCCACUAGCGUAUAUUAAAGUUGUUGCAGUUAAAAAGCUCGUAGUUGAACCUCUGUCUGGGGCUAGUUUUGGCUUUGGUCAGGCUAGUUCUAGGCAUCCGCCUACAAGACUUAGAGGGCAUUCAGUUGUUCACUAGGAGGAGUAGGCAUUUUACUUUGAAAAAAUUAGAGUGUUUAAGGCAGGCAAUCGCCCGCAUAUAUUAGCAUGGAAUAAUAGAAUAGGACACUUUUCCAUUUCGUUGGUUAUUGGAAUCGUGUAAUGAUUAAUAGGGACAGUUGUGGGCAUUUGUAUUUAAUUGUCAGAGGUGAAAUUCUUGGAUUUAUUAAAGACAAACUAACGCGAAAGCAUUUGCCAAGGAUGUUUUCAUUAAUCAAGAACGAAAGUUAGGGGAUCAAAGACGAUCAGAUACCGUCCUAGUCUUAACUAUAAACUAUUCCGACUCAAUGUUUGACUGGCUUAUAUAACCAGUUGAGCGUUGUAUGAGAAAUCAAAGUCUUUAGGUUCUGGGGGGAGUAUGGUUGCAAAGCUGAAACUUAAAGGAAUUGACGGAAGAGCACAACCAGGAGUGGAUUCUGCGGCUUAAUUUGACUCAACACGGGGAAACUUACCAGGUUAAAACAAUAGUGGGAUUGACAGUUUGAGAGCGCUUUCUUGAUUGGUUGGGUGGUGGUGCAUGGCCGUUCUUAGUUGGUGGAGUGAUUUGUCUGCUUAAUUGCGUUAACGAACGAGACCG